GUCAAAGAUUAUUAUGCUAUGAUAUUUUUGCUUUUUUGUCAUGGUGGAUAUCAUAUAUUGUACAGUAUUUAACUUUUUUGCUUAACAACUAUCAUUAGAAUUAAUAUACUGUAUUCUGUGUAUAGCCUGAGACAAUUUUUUUCUUUAAAUGUGGCUCAAGAUAGCGAAAAGGUUGAACACCCCUGCUCUAAACAGACAACAUUUAGUGACAGACUGCUGAUGAAAUGAAAGCUACAGAUGUUCAAACUUCACAUAAUAAUUGGUAUUAUAGGUACUCCUUACUUAACAACCACCUGUUUAAUGACUGUUCGAGCAUAAGUUCGAACAUUUUUUUAAUGCUCAAUUUAAUGCUCAUUUUUUCAUACUUUUUUUAUGUCAUAAGUUUACACUUUUUUAAUGUAAAAUUUGGUUUUUGCCCAUAUGGAUUAUGUUGAUUAUAAUUUCUUUGAGAGUUGUGU
This 458-nucleotide long non-coding RNA is filed under the name Androctonus crassicauda. The record is from RNAcentral. Lineage: Eukaryota; Metazoa; Arthropoda; Arachnida; Scorpiones; Buthidae.